CAUUGACCUCUUGAGCUUAUAGUGCUGCUAAUGCAGUAAUUUAGCAAUUGAGCUACAGUAAGAUAUUAUUUAAAAAACACUGAGCUGAUAUCUCUUUAUAAGAUCUCAGCUUUUUUGUUGCAAAACACAUGGGGUUCAUUGACUGUCUUUAUGUAAAUGUUCUGCUGUAUAUGUAAACAGUGGGCAUGAGUCAGUUUAUUUUCCUCUGAUCGCUUUAGGCAGAGACAAACAGCUUCAGGUCAUUUACACUUUAAAGUGCAUCAUGUUUACUGAAGCUUUACUGCUGCUGCUGGCAAGUCUAAACUGUAUUAAUGCAGAUGAACUCUCUCAGCCUGAGUUUCUGACUGUUCGUCCUGAUGGCUCUCUAACUAUCGACUGUAAAGUCUCUUAUUCAGUUACUAGCUAUGGUACAGGCUGGAUCCGUCAGCCUGCAGGAAAACCUCUGGAGUGGAUUGGGUUGAUUGAUACUGGUGGAAACUUAUAUUAUAAAGAUUCACUGAAAAACAAGUUCAGCAUCACCAAAGACACCUCCAGUAAUACAGUUACAUUGAAAGGAAACAAUAUUCAAGCUCAAGACACAGCUGUGUAUUAUUGUGCCAGAGAACACAGUGACAGAAACUAACAGUCUCCCUGUACAAAAACAUGAUCACUGAAAUACAUCAGGUUUUCACAACUGACA
Misgurnus anguillicaudatus (oriental weatherfish) is the source of this 679-nucleotide non-coding RNA. The record is from the annotation of a RefSeq genome assembly. NCBI's taxonomy places the organism in Eukaryota, Metazoa, Chordata, Actinopteri, Cypriniformes, Cobitidae.